RNAcentral lists this ribosomal RNA (540 nucleotides) under uncultured bacterium. RNAcentral's name for it is "bacterial SSU rRNA". It matches the Rfam family "Bacterial small subunit ribosomal RNA", at positions 277 to 815 of the family's 1533-position model. The record is from RNAcentral.
CGAUGCGUAGGGGUUCUGAGAGGAAGGCCCCCCACACUGGUACUGAGACACGGACCAGACUCCUACGGGAGGCAGCAGUGAGGAAUAUUGGUCAAUGGGCGGGAGCCUGAACCAGCCAAGUCGCGUGAGGGAAGAAGGUACUGAGUAUUGUAAACCUCUUUUGCCAGGGGACAAAGGCGGCCACGGGUGGCCGUAAGAGGGUACCUGGAGAAAAAGCAUCGGCUAACUCCGUGCCAGCAGCCGCGGUAAUACGGAGGAUGCGAGCGUUAUCCGGAUUUAUUGGGUUUAAAGGGUGCGCAGGCGGCGUGUCAAGUCAGCGGUAAAAUGUCGGGGCUCAACCCCGGCCGGCCGUUGAAACUGGCGUGCUCGAGUUGGAGAGAAGUAUGCGGAAUUCGUGGUGUAGCGGUGAAAUGCAUAGAUAUCACGAAGAACCCCGAUUGCGAAGGCAGCAUACCGGCUCCACACUGACGCUGAGGCACGAAAGCGUGGGUAUCGAACAGGAUUAGAUACCCUGGUAGUCCACGCAGUAAACGAUGAAUG